AGCCAAAUAAUAUGAUUGAAAGAUGGACGAGGAAUGGACGACCAAGAAGAAAAAAUGGAGAACAAGACAUACAGAAGUCUCAAAUUGUUUACAUUGGAUAUCAUACAGAAUUGAAUGAAUCCUUGUUCCGAGCUUAUCUAUCCUACCUUGUAUGAUAGAUAUUACAGUUUUAAAUCCAGGAGAACCAGCUUGUUUCCUGGACUCCUGUCAUGAACAGCAGCUGUUUGAACAGUACAUGGAGAACCCCCACCUCGUCCUAUUUAUACAUUAAAUAAACAGUUAUUGCAUUUGCA
Molecule: long non-coding RNA, 293 nt
Organism: Eurytemora carolleeae
Lineage: Eukaryota; Metazoa; Arthropoda; Copepoda; Calanoida; Temoridae
Exons: 3
Source: RefSeq, a predicted model, not a curated record